RNAcentral lists this ribosomal RNA (463 nucleotides) under uncultured bacterium. RNAcentral describes it as "partial 16S ribosomal RNA". It matches the Rfam family "Bacterial small subunit ribosomal RNA", at positions 29 to 507 of the family's 1533-position model. The record is from RNAcentral.
AGUGAACGCUGGCGGCGUGCCUAAUACAUGCCAGUCGAACGAUGAAGUCCUAGCUUGCUAGGAUGGAUUAGUGGCGCACGGGUGAGUAAUAUAUAGUUAAUCUGCCCUACACAGAGGAACAACAGUUGGAAACGACUGCUAAUACCUCAUACUCCUAUUUGACAUAAGUUAAAUAGGGAAAGUCUUUUCGGUGUAGGAUGAGACUAUAUCGUAUCAGCUAGUUGGUAAGGUAAUGGCUUACCAAGGCUAUGACGCGUAACUGGUCUGAGAGGAUGAUCAGUCACAUUGGAACUGAGACACGGUCCAAACUCCUACGGGAGGCAGCAGUAAGGAAUAUUGCGCAAUGGGGGAAACCCUGACGCAGCAACGCCGCGUGGAGGAUGACACUUUUCGGAGCGUAAACUCCUUUUAUCAGGAAAGAAUAAUGACGGUACCUGAUGAAUAAGCACCGGCUAACUCCGUG